GUCGCCAUAGUUUAGUGGUUAGAAUUCCUGCCUGUCACGCAGGGGGCCGGGGUUCGAUUCCCCGUGGUGGCG
RNAcentral lists this transfer RNA (72 nucleotides) under Dunaliella salina. RNAcentral describes it as "tRNA-Asp". It matches the Rfam family "tRNA". Rfam says of the family: Transfer RNA (tRNA) molecules are approximately 80 nucleotides in length. Their secondary structure includes four short double-helical elements and three loops (D, anti-codon, and T loops). Further hydrogen bonds mediate the characteristic L-shaped molecular structure. tRNAs have two regions of fundamental functional importance: the anti-codon, which is responsible for specific mRNA codon recognition, and the 3' end, to which the tRNAs corresponding amino acid is attached (by aminoacyl-tRNA synthetases). tRNAs cope with the degeneracy of the genetic code in two manners: having more than one tRNA (with a specific anti-codon) for a particular amino acid; and 'wobble' base-pairing, i.e. permitting non-standard base-pairing at the 3rd anti-codon position. The record is from RNAcentral. RNAcentral also lists the same sequence under 1 other name. Lineage: Eukaryota; Viridiplantae; Chlorophyta; Chlorophyceae; Chlamydomonadales; Dunaliellaceae.